CUUUCCCGCUUCCUGGGCUGUCGCUCAUCACUUUCAGCUGCCUACUGCCAGAGGCCUGUCAGGGUAUGUAAAUGGGGUGGCUAUGACGAGGAACGGGACCUGCUCACUCCAACGCCGGCCAUAAGUUCUGCAUGCCUAAAAUUUCAGGAAGGUCACAUCAAUAGGUCAGCAUGGCCAGAGUUUCAGAAAACAAAGAUAUUUCGUAAGAAGAGGAAUUAAUUCCAGCUCACAGUGAGAACAUUACAAGAGAAGCAAGUUCAUUGUGAAGGGCAAUCAGAUAGAUCCUGACCUCCUGAAUUUGGAAGAAGCCAGAAUGUCAUUGUUCUUUAGUGGGAAGAGAAUUAGACCCAGAAGAUCUGCUGUGGACAUUACAUAUCCACCCGUCUUUUUCCAUCUCUUUUAAAGUUGAGCCCACCACCACUCCACUCCAAAACCAAAAUCUGUUGCUGUACAGGUUCCUGCAUGAGUGUCGCUGAGGAUGUGAUCUGAAGAUAAUGACAUUGCACAGAUAUAAAGCAAUGGUGAGAUUACAUUUGGAAUAGUGUAUCCAGUUUGGGGCUUAAAGUACAUUACCCAAAAGAGAUGUCAAGAUGUUUGAUAUGAAGAGGAGGCCAGCGUGAGAUCAAGUAGCAACCUACAAUUAUGCAAAGAGGUACUACAGAAUCAGAUGUUUCUUUAAGUGGGAGAUGCCCAGAUGAGGCGGAUGAGCAAUGGUCAAAGGUUGUGUCUUGAGAGAUUAAGGCUGGAGAUUAGGAAACAGUUUGGGAGACUAAGAAUCACUGCAAGAGGUUGCAGUGGAAUCUCCAUCCUUAUAAUGUAUCUUGGAAAUUCAGAUUGAAAAAGCCUGGCUGAUCUGAACUAGCGCUGCCUAUAGUCUGGCUUUGAGAGGCAGGUUGAACUAGAGACCUCCAGAGAUCCAUUCCAACCAGCAUUUCUGUAAGCCUAUGAUCUCUCCUUAAGAGUGCACUUCUGACAAGAAAAUGAUUAUUCUUCCUCCAGUAGUCACAGAGGAUGUUAGAGCAGUAUGCUUUCCCUGCAAGCAGACACAAGCCUGAAAGAUGUCUUCACUUGCCAAAAAGAGAAGAGCACCCCACACUACGUGCCAAAAGAAAGAGAAAAUCAUAUGAUCUUGGCAAGCAGAAUACAUUUUUCUAGGGCUGGCACUCUGCUAAGACAUCCGCUUUCCCUCCUUUGCUUGGAUCAAAGGCAGAGGUAGUUCAGCUCUGCCUCAAGCAUGGCUAGCAUGAGCUUUGCCCACAAUAUGCACACUGGUGAUAAGGCUGAGGCUGAUCUGUGUGAGUUCAGUGUUUUUGAAGUAGUGGCUCUUGCAGAACGUGGAGAUUUUAAUUUUACAGCCACAUUUGAGAAUUUCAAGUUUUGUUUGACUUUUGUGAUAGGAUUAGAAAUUGAUUCAAGUAAAUAUUUUAAUGCAAUUACUUUACAGUGUUUAUGCUCAAUGCAGAAGCUGAUGCUGUAAGAAACAGGAACACUACAUAAAAUUGAAUAAUGAAUAAU
RNAcentral lists this long non-coding RNA (1515 nucleotides) under Gallus gallus (chicken). RNAcentral describes it as "lncRNA (ENSGALG00010007385.1)". The record is from RNAcentral. Lineage: Eukaryota; Metazoa; Chordata; Aves; Galliformes; Phasianidae.